AUGGCGGACGACGUCGCCCCGUGCACCGCAUCCGGCUACCUCGACCCCUCCUACUGGGACGGGCGGUUCGGGAAGGAGGAGCACUACGAGUGGUUCAAGGACUUCUCCCACUUCCGCCACCUCCUCGCCCCGCUCCUCUCCCCCUCCCUCUCGGUUCUGGAGGUCGGCUGCGGCAAUUCGCGGCUCGGGGAGGAGCUCUUAAGGGAGGGCGUCACUGGCGGCGUCACCUGCAUCGACCUCUCGCCGGUCGCCGUCCAGAGGAUGCGCGACAGACUGGCGGAGCAGGGCACCAGUGGUGUGGAUGUGGUGGUGGCUGACAUGCUUGACCUUCCGUUCGAGAGCGAGAGCUUCGACCUUGUGAUCGAGAAAGGGACCAUGGAUGUGUUGUUUGUGGACAGUGGUGAUCCAUGGAACCCCAAUCCUACAACAGUGGAUAAUGUAACCAAAAUGCUUGAAGGUAUCCACAAGGUUUUGAAGCCAGAUGGCAAAUUUGUAUCAAUUACCUUUGGACAGCCACACUUCCGUCGUCGAUUUUUCGAAGCACCUGAGUUUACAUGGUCUGUUGAGUGGAACACCUUUGGUGAUGGCUUCCAUUAUUUCUUCUACACCCUUCAGAAGGGCAAAAGGUCACCAGAGUCCAACGGUCACCAAGUUACAUUACCUGCUGCUCCAAGCUUCAAUAUGCUGCAUGAAGAGCUCGAAAGCGAGGAUUACAUAUUCCGCACAAAUGUUGAUGAGUUAUAA
RNAcentral lists this ribosomal RNA (744 nucleotides) under Triticum aestivum (bread wheat). Its description in RNAcentral is "partial small subunit ribosomal RNA". The record is from RNAcentral. Lineage: Eukaryota; Viridiplantae; Streptophyta; Magnoliopsida; Poales; Poaceae.